GGAUGAAGAUAACUGAUAAACUAUUAUAUACCACUUAACAUUGAAGAACUUAAGAAUGUGCAAUGAGAGUUAAACUUCGAAUCACGCAUGGCAAUCAGUGCCUACUCAUGCCAUUUCACUUCAAAGGGACGGUGUCUAGAAACAUUCUUUUUACAAGGCAUUGAUAUAUGUAAAGAAUGUAUCAAUGAAUAGAUGAUGGUGGUGUUUCAGUUACAAAAGCAGAGAAAGAAAUUUGUUACUGAAGGCAAACUUGUACACCUGGGCAAAGCACUUGCAUUCUUUUAAGUUCUGUCAAAGGUAGUACUUCUCAAACUUAAAUAUGCAUGCAAAUCACCUGAGGAAUCACAGAAGAAUUCAGAUUCUCAUGUGAAGGUCUAGAGUGGGGCUUGACCCUCUGCAUAAUAAGCUUCCAAGUGAUGCUGAUACAGCUUGUCCACUUUGAAUAACAAGGAUUUAGUUGAAAGAAACCCUGAAUCAUGGACAUACUU
RNAcentral lists this long non-coding RNA (488 nucleotides) under Homo sapiens (human). RNAcentral's name for it is "non-protein coding lnc-PEX2-3:1". Lineage: Eukaryota; Metazoa; Chordata; Mammalia; Primates; Hominidae. The record is from RNAcentral.